UAACACGUGGGUAAUCUGCCCUCAAGUGGGGAAUAACGCUGCGAAAGCAGUGCUAAUACCGCAUAAGCUCUCUAUGUGAAUAGCGAGUAAAGCUAAGGCGCUUGAGGAGGAGCCCGCGGUUGAUUAGCUAGUUGGUGGGGUAACGGCCUACCAAGGCGAUGAUCAAUAGCCGGCCUGAGAGGGCUGACGGCCACACUGGGACUGAGACACGGCCCAG
Molecule: ribosomal RNA, 217 nt
Filed under: uncultured bacterium
Lineage: Bacteria
Description: partial 16S ribosomal RNA
Rfam family: Bacterial small subunit ribosomal RNA
Source: RNAcentral